Homo sapiens (human) is the source of this 1052-nucleotide long non-coding RNA. Ensembl annotates it as small nucleolar RNA host gene 27. Its record names the gene SNHG27. Lineage: Eukaryota; Metazoa; Chordata; Mammalia; Primates; Hominidae. The record is from Ensembl.
GGAGGCCGGGAUUCGCGGAGGGUCAACCAGGAGGAAGAAACGCCAGAAGGAAGAAACCUGAGACAGAUCGCCGGGGACGCAGCACGGGAUCCCAGCCUGAGGCGUGCGGGGACGGUGUGCGGGAAGGGAGUGUAUCCUGGUGUAUGACAGCAUAUAGUAGAGACCAGUGUCAAUUAGGGCCUGUGAACUGAGACAGGGUGACUGGCUAAGUCCACAACCCAUUAGAAACCCAGAAAUAAUCAAAUCAUGGUGAGUAGUAAUAAUACUUAUUUAUAGUACUGUACGGUAUAAAGACAAGAACCAAUUAUGUUGAGUAGCUGUAACAAAUAGCUCUAUCGUUCUUAAUAACUUUUUCUGUAAUAAAACUGAAUUGUAACAUGACCAUACUGCAAUAUGACAUUACACUGGUAUUGUUGGUAAGAUUCAACUAUCUUAUGUAGAGAAGUUAUAUAAUGCUUAUAUUGAUAAUCAAAUGUAUUAAGAUAUUGAGUUAAAGCCUCUUCAGAAUGUAAUCUGGGUGAAUAAUAAAUGGCCUGAGAAAACAGAAUUUAGCUAACCAUUAUCUAAUUUCAAUGCUAAAUAGUUCUGCACAGAUUUAUCAAAAGGUAAAAAUAAAAGCAAAUUGAGAGGAGGAAUGAGUAAUUUGGUUUGUACAAAAUAUUAAAGUGUAUGUAAUGGCCUUGUAGGAUGCAUUAGUAAUUUUUAAAAAUCAAUCUUUACCCUACACUGUGUCCAUAAAAUGCUAGGCAUAUUCAUGUUAAUAUUACUGUUGUUACUGUCAUAUAAAUGCUGUACUCAAUGUAGAUGCUCAGAAAAAUAUGCUUGUUUUGCUACAGGAGAGAUUAGUCCAGGGACAAUAAAUAUGGAUUAGGGAAGAAUGUGUUAACUCAGCAGGCCAGGGUUUCUUCAACCCUGCACAUUCAAAGAGGGAUCAUGGAAAGGAAGCUGAAUUUGCUGAGUUUUGCCACGUGGGCAUUGCAUGCCUAUGUGAUUAACCACCAAUAAAAACCUGGGACAUCAAAAAAUAAAUAAGCUGCUUUAAUUGCCAAGAA